AACGCACAUUGCGCCCCCUGGUAUUCCGGGGGGCAUGCCUGUUCGAGCGUCAUUUCACCACUCAAGCCUCGCUUGGUAUUGGGCAACGCGGUCCGCCGCGUGCCUCAAAUCGUCCGGCUGGGUCUUCUGUCCCCUAAGCGUUGUGGAAACUAUUCGCUAAAGGGUGUUCGGGAGGCUACGCCGUAAAACAACCCCAUUUCUAAGGUUGACCUCGGAUCAGGUAGGGAUACCCGCUGAACUUAAGCAUAUCGAUAAGGCGAGGAGAUACUGAUGUCAUGAGAGAUUGUGAGUCAUCGAGUCUUUGAACGCACCUUGCGCUCUAUGGCAAUCCGUAGAGCAUGCCUGUUUGAGUGCCAUGAAAUCUCCCACCCCAAGCGGUUUUUAAAUGAAACGGCUUGGCGGAUGGGGUCUGGAUGGGUGCCUCUGCCUGCGCUACCUAGCACAGGCUCGCCCGAAAUGCAUGAGCGCCUGAGACACUUUGCAUCCGCCUCUCUGUUUGGGAGGAGGCGGCCAAGCAGUGUUUUUCUCCUGGCAUGGCAUGAUACGUCAUUUGCUAUGUCGCCUAAAGGAGGAAUGUUUGGUUGUGUCUGCGUGUGCUUCGAACUUGCCUCUGUGGCACAUCCCAAUUUCACUUCUGGUCUCAAAUCAGGUAGGAUCACCCGCUGAACUUAA
RNAcentral lists this unclassified non-coding RNA (672 nucleotides) under uncultured Malassezia. RNAcentral describes it as "partial contains 5.8S ribosomal RNA, internal transcribed spacer 2, and large subunit ribosomal RNA". The stretch from base 260 to 356 matches the Rfam family "5.8S ribosomal RNA", at positions 40 to 154 of the family's 154-position model. Lineage: Eukaryota; Fungi; Basidiomycota; Malasseziomycetes; Malasseziales; Malasseziaceae. The record is from RNAcentral.